Molecule: unclassified non-coding RNA, 722 nt
Filed under: Hevea brasiliensis (rubber tree)
Lineage: Eukaryota; Viridiplantae; Streptophyta; Magnoliopsida; Malpighiales; Euphorbiaceae
Source: RNAcentral
UCUAAAUCCAUUAUUUUUACGAUUUCUUGGACAAAUGAAUCUUAAUUUGAGAAAAGAAAAUCCAAUGAAGAUAUUAAUUGCAGUAGUUUAUAAAGUUCAUGAUUGACAUUGUAAUGUUUUAAAGCAUGAGGUCCAGAAUGUGAUUAUUCCUUAAAUAAAAAAGUGCAUACUGCAUAAGUGAUAGUAUAUUAGUUCACAAAUUUUUUGGGCUCUGAGCUCUUUUUAGGUAUGGAACUGAGCCUCAGAUUGGCUAUAUUUUAGGUUGAGCUGUGUUCAGGCUAGAAAGCUGAAGCUCAUUUGAAUCUGAGCCAAGUUCAAGUGUAGUAAUGAACCAAUCUUGACCAAAGAAAAACUGGACUUGGCUCGUUUAAUGCCUUACUCAAUAUCUUGGUGUUUCAGUGAACUGAUGAGUCUUGGUAUAACGUAUUUACGCGAUUGCAUUCUGUAAAAAAGACAAUGAAGCCAAUCAAAAUUUUAAUUAGUUUGAGAACUCUUCAUCUGCCGCAUAGUUGACAAAUUCGCAAAUGUAUUAAAACCACUUUUGAUGUUGAUGGCUACUCUGUCAACUCUAGAUUGUGUCAUGAUAUUCUCACUAAACUGCUUUUUACAUAUACUUAGCCUUCCAGGUUUAGUUUUUCCUAAGAGAAUGGAAAACUUAGUAUUUGCUACAACCUAUUUAUCACAUUAGAUGAUGUUUUUGGGGCGUGGUAUUCACUUAUGAG